GCCUUCCUGGUGUAAUGGUCUGCACACUGAGCCGGUAUUUCAGAGGUCCGUGGUUCGAUUCCCGGCGAAGGAA
This is a non-coding RNA of Stegodyphus mimosarum, 73 nucleotides long. The record is from Rfam. NCBI's taxonomy places the organism in Eukaryota, Metazoa, Arthropoda, Arachnida, Araneae, Eresidae.